ACUUUCAUUCUCCGUCUCAGACCGUCUCGACAUAUGAUGCUGCAAAACAAUUUGAAAUAGAAACUCAUUUAAUCCCUUCAUAUUCAAGAAAUGCAGAACCUGAAGAGUAUGUUUUUAAUCCAAGUAACACUUCAAAGUUUGACGGAUGUGAACCUGAGGAAAUCUCUUCUCGGUGGAUGAUGAAUCAUAGUGAUAACUUUGACACAUUUUCUCUUGAUGAGCAAACCAGAGUUGUAGCUAAUGAUGUUCAGGAACAAACUGGUGCAGCAUCAUCUUGUAUUACUUGGGAUGAAAAGAUAGAAAUAGUGGAACCUACAGGACCACAAUAUCAUUUUAAUGAAAAUGUGUAUGGUCACCCUACGAAUUCUGACCCAAUUCUUUUAGAGGGGGAUGCUUCUAAUUUUGAAACUGAAUGCUGCAGUAACAAAAGCCCACCAAAAUCAGUCUGUGCUGCACAUCAAUUUGAUGAGUAUGAGAGUGACAUAGACAUUUACAUGGAUUCACGUAAUACCAUGGAGUCAGAAUCUGAAACUGAUUUAGAAUGUCAAACGAAGCGAGAAGUGGAGCAGUAUUCAGAUAUGAACACCAUAGCAAUCGAUGAAAAUCUAAAUAGGAUUAACCCUGAGUACAUGGAAAGCAAUUCUGCAAAUGCUCCUACUCAUGUUCCACCUCGUAUCUCCACAGAUGGUGAUAUUUCAGACAACCACCACCACUCAUUUGUCCUUGAAUCUAGCUCUGUCCUAAGCAAAGAAAUAUCCACUGCUAAGCCCAUUUCCGUAACCCCAGUAUGUAAUGCACAGGUACAGUCUCGUGACACAGGCAAAUCUUCAAUUCUGGACAGUCUGUCUUCUAGUGAGUUAAUCGAUAGUGAUGAUAUGACUAGCUCCAAAACAGAAACUGCUGUCAGAAAUUUGUCGUCCUUUGACUCGAAUGAACUAGUAAUUCAGGCUUUAAACAGUGAUAAAGUCUUAAGCAAUGCAUAUGGGUCACAAGAUUCUCCGUCACUGCCUUCUGUUACUGGAACAAACUUUUGGACAAAUGGUGGACUACUGGGGCUUCAACCAUCAAAACCCCCUGACUUCAGUACGCCAGGUCCUAUGAAUCAUGACUCCAUGGGUCCAAGCCGAGGUAAAACUUUUGAGGGCAAUAAACUUGCACCAGAAACCGAUAUCUCUGAGGGUUUUAAAGUGCCUAAACAGAAAAGUAGCUCUAAACACUGCAUAUCGCUCUAUAAUGAUCAGGAAGAUAGUACCUCUGUCAUGAAAACAUCUUUGAGUUCUUCACAAACUCAUUCAGAAAGUAAAAAUCAACAUACUGCCAUUUGUCAGCAUAAUGAUAGUCAGUUCCAGAAUCUACUUUUCUCUGAAGCCAGUAUUAUGAUACCUGGAACUAAAAAACCGGAUAAUCUGAAUUUUGAAGCUGCUAAAUCUCUUGGAUAUAUUGACAAGAAUUCAUCUCGGAUUUUUGAAUUAAGCAAUGAAGUACUUGAUAACAGUCAAGGUAAAGUAUGUUUUUCUCUUGAGGACAAUCCUCUCAACUCUUUCACAAGUGGUAUAUCUGAAAGAAAUAGUGUGCAUCAAACAUUUCAAACCUUCUCUGAUAGGAUCUUCACAGAGCAGUUUGGAACUAAAUUUUCAUUCAUAUCACCGUCAUCUUCUCCACCGCUUGAACAUAUGAAGAUAUCUUUUCAGCCUAUAGAUGGAUUUGAGGUAUCAAAGCUGAAACUGGAUUUCCCUGGUGGAAAUGAGUCUCUAGAAGGUGGUAGAGAUGUCUUUCCUUCUUUUCAACUAGUCCCAGAAGUGUCUCUUUCAUUGCUGGACAUUAAUUCAGACUCUGAUGACACUUUUUGUGAUUCAAAUUCUCACGGGUCAGAUGAUUCUAUCACUCAUUACUCAGUGUCAUAUUUUGAAGAAUGGGGAACAAUAGAAUAUCCUAAAUGCGAUGAUAGUGAUAUGUCUGAUGCUUUAUGCAUAAACUCAAUAGAAUCAGUUUCAAGUAACUUGGAUUUUGGGAGAAUUGCUCCGGGAGUAAUCACCAGCAAUAGUGGACUUCCAAAUCUAUUUUAUGAGAAAGUUAUGGAACAUUCAGAAACAGAUCUUCCAAGUUUUGAUACUUUAGAUGAUUCAAUCAAUGAGGAAUUACAGAAUGAUUCUAAAGCAAAGAUUGAACUGGAUUCAGGACCACUUAAGGAUUCCACACUGUCACCUACUCUCCCUCCAACAGAGUGCGGUAUGAACGAAAAUCCAGAUAUGGCAACUGAGAACCAAGUUCCUUCUGUUAAAGCCCUAAAACAUGAAUUUGAUCAGAAGCUUCAAUUUUCCACAAUCUCCCACCAACAGAAAGUAGAACCAUUUAAUCAUGGAAAUAUGGAGACAAUUGGAUGUACGAAAAAUAAAAAGGUACUUACCUAAUUGUCAAUUUUCAUGCAACUAUAUCAUGUCUUGUGUUUCGGCUGUAACAUACUAAUAUAUGACGUACAAAGUUGUGCAUGUUGGAGAAACUACCAUAAACUACUCAUGGUUAUGUAUAUGAUAUAUGCAGCAUCCAGAUGGCCAGAAGCUCAAUUUACAGANUUCAUUCUCCGUCUCAGACCGUCUCGACAUAUGAUGCUGCAAAACAAUUUGAAAUAGAAACUCAUUUAAUCCCUUCAUAUUCAAGAAAUGCAGAACCUGAAGAGUAUGUUUUUAAUCCAAGUAACACUUCAAAGUUUGACGGAUGUGAACCUGAGGAAAUCUCUUCUCGGUGGAUGAUGAAUCAUAGUGAUAACUUUGACACAUUUUCUCUUGAUGAGCAAACCAGAGUUGUAGCUAAUGAUGUUCAGGAACAAACUGGUGCAGCAUCAUCUUGUAUUACUUGGGAUGAAAAGAUAGAAAUAGUGGAACCUACAGGACCACAAUAUCAUUUUAAUGAAAAUGUGUAUGGUCACCCUACGAAUUCUGACCCAAUUCUUUUAGAGGGGGAUGCUUCUAAUUUUGAAACUGAAUGCUGCAGUAACAAAAGCCCACCAAAAUCAGUCUGUGCUGCACAUCAAUUUGAUGAGUAUGAGAGUGACAUAGACAUUUACAUGGAUUCACGUAAUACCAUGGAGUCAGAAUCUGAAACUGAUUUAGAAUGUCAAACGAAGCGAGAAGUGGAGCAGUAUUCAGAUAUGAACACCAUAGCAAUCGAUGAAAAUCUAAAUAGGAUUAACCCUGAGUACAUGGAAAGCAAUUCUGCAAAUGCUCCUACUCAUGUUCCACCUCGUAUCUCCACAGAUGGUGAUAUUUCAGACAACCACCACCACUCAUUUGUCCUUGAAUCUAGCUCUGUCCUAAGCAAAGAAAUAUCCACUGCUAAGCCCAUUUCCGUAACCCCAGUAUGUAAUGCACAGGUACAGUCUCGUGACACAGGCAAAUCUUCAAUUCUGGACAGUCUGUCUUCUAGUGAGUUAAUCGAUAGUGAUGAUAUGACUAGCUCCAAAACAGAAACUGCUGUCAGAAAUUUGUCGUCCUUUGACUCGAAUGAACUAGUAAUUCAGGCUUUAAACAGUGAUAAAGUCUUAAGCAAUGCAUAUGGGUCACAAGAUUCUCCGUCACUGCCUUCUGUUACUGGAACAAACUUUUGGACAAAUGGUGGACUACUGGGGCUUCAACCAUCAAAACCCCCUGACUUCAGUACGCCAGGUCCUAUGAAUCAUGACUCCAUGGGUCCAAGCCGAGGUAAAACUUUUGAGGGCAAUAAACUUGCACCAGAAACCGAUAUCUCUGAGGGUUUUAAAGUGCCUAAACAGAAAAGUAGCUCUAAACACUGCAUAUCGCUCUAUAAUGAUCAGGAAGAUAGUACCUCUGUCAUGAAAACAUCUUUGAGUUCUUCACAAACUCAUUCAGAAAGUAAAAAUCAACAUACUGCCAUUUGUCAGCAUAAUGAUAGUCAGUUCCAGAAUCUACUUUUCUCUGAAGCCAGUAUUAUGAUACCUGGAACUAAAAAACCGGAUAAUCUGAAUUUUGAAGCUGCUAAAUCUCUUGGAUAUAUUGACAAGAAUUCAUCUCGGAUUUUUGAAUUAAGCAAUGAAGUACUUGAUAACAGUCAAGGUAAAGUAUGUUUUUCUCUUGAGGACAAUCCUCUCAACUCUUUCACAAGUGGUAUAUCUGAAAGAAAUAGUGUGCAUCAAACAUUUCAAACCUUCUCUGAUAGGAUCUUCACAGAGCAGUUUGGAACUAAAUUUUCAUUCAUAUCACCGUCAUCUUCUCCACCGCUUGAACAUAUGAAGAUAUCUUUUCAGCCUAUAGAUGGAUUUGAGGUAUCAAAGCUGAAACUGG
RNAcentral lists this long non-coding RNA (4298 nucleotides) under Daucus carota (carrot). Its description in RNAcentral is "long non-coding RNA (DCAR_LNC001065)". Lineage: Eukaryota; Viridiplantae; Streptophyta; Magnoliopsida; Apiales; Apiaceae. The record is from RNAcentral.